Molecule: long non-coding RNA, 15903 nt
Filed under: Triticum aestivum (bread wheat)
Lineage: Eukaryota; Viridiplantae; Streptophyta; Magnoliopsida; Poales; Poaceae
Description: long non-coding RNA (TAES_LNC016994)
Source: RNAcentral
ACAGAACAUUCAAGUAACAAAGGAUGUACAGUUGCAAAUAAUAGCAUUGUUUGAACAGAAGAUGUGAAGCCAUCUGCCGCUUCCCAGGGCCCUCAGCACACAGGAUUGUUUUUUUAUUAAACAAAGUAGAACCUCUUGAUGCAUCAGUAAUUCAAAGCUUUCUGAGUAUGCAAGGCAAAAUAGCUCAACAUCCAGUUCGCUAUGAGCAUUUCUCGUAAGUGUUGUAGACGACAAAAUAUACUACAGUUAGAUCCCAAUACUGCUAUAAAUCAUUAACAGAUUACAAGAUUAUAUGCAUAAUCACAUAACCACAAAUUGUAGAAAGAGAGGUCGUAUUUAUUAAAAGAAGAAAUGGGAGGCUCAGAGUUGGCUCGUCUAUCAUAUGGGCAAAACGCACUCUGUAUCCGAUACACUUGGUGAUACACGUUGGAGAUGCCCCUGUGUGACAUUUCAGCAUUCCAAUGGUUGCUCACGGAAAGCAAGCAAUCCUCAUUUGAACGCUUCCACCUAGUCACACAAAACCCUAACACAUACCAUAAAUACAAGUGAUGGUAUCUGAGAUCUCAAUAAACCCCUGAAUGAGCGCCUUACUCAUCAUCGUCAUCAACAGCACUUUGGCGCAAAUCCCACAAAGAGAAUAACAGAUGACCAGAAACCACAGGAGAAUCAGUAAAAGCAGAAAGAAUCACUAUAUCAGGAGCAAAUCAUGAACUGGUGAACACAAAAACUGGAACAUGUAUAAGUAAAUGGCUCAGAUACACUUCCAUCUCAACACCAUAAGUGAAUUUCUGGUAGGAUGACCAUGAACAUUUAUAGUAUUUGUGAACGGAGGGAGUAAUAGUUAGCCGCUAAACUGGUUACUUGCUGUGACACAAGCCAUCCUAGUUUAGCACCAAGUGAAUCAAUUCAGGUGUUAGAUAGAAGCUCUCACAGGGACGCUAUAUCAUCACAGCCAUUCAUGAACAUGACACGAAGAAAACAGUAAUCUUAACAUGCCAUAUACGACCCUUAAGUUGAAACUUGAAACCAGUAAAGAAGUAACGAGAAACCAAAAGUACAAACUGAUAAGUAGAUAAAGAAUACAGCAGAAGAAUGAAAUUAUCAAGUCAAAUUGAUAGGGAGACGGCAGGCAUCACCACCAGCAUCCUUCCUCGUCGAUGCCUCUCCCUCACAGAUGAAGCUUUAUAAGGACAUAGGGAUGGCAUGCAUUGAUAGUGGAAGUUAAGGAGGACUACAAUGGCAAAUAUCAAUAAGAAAAUUUGACAAUGGAUGCAAAAACAGGACCAAAAACUGAAAAAUAGCAUCAACAAGAAUCUGCUUUUAAAUUGGUUCAAUAAAAAGAUUUCACACCAUCUCACCUUCCCAGAAGGUCCACACAAAGAACCAGAGCCAUAACAAAGAACCCAAAGCCAUAGGUAAUGCCAGGUUUCUUUUUCAAGCUACAGGCCCACAAUGUACAGAAUAUAUACAACUUAAUUUUCGCAAUGAGCCCAUGACCAUUCACAGUUACCAAACAGGUAUUCUUAAAAUCAAGAAGAAACAGAGAAAGUUAUUAGGGAAAAUCAAGCUGUUUUCUGGAAUAUAUUCUAAAGUUACUCACUGAUCAAAAUUACUAUAACCAAACAGUAGUAGAAGUAUCAGACACAGGUGUCAUAACAAACACAUGCACGAAUAGUUCGCAAAAUCCACAAAAAAGUUGGAGUAUUACUUGAAUGGCUCAGAUUUAACCCACCAUAUAUCACCAAAGUUGGAAAAUGCUUCAGGUAGGCCUUUCGGUACCAAACAACAACAACAACAACAACAACAACAACAACAACAACAACAACAAAGCCUUUCAGUCCCAAACAAGUUGGGGUAGGCAUGUGGAUAGCUAAUUUCCAUACACCCCUGCCCAUGGCUAGUUCUUUGGUGAUAUUCCAGUCCUUCAGGUCUCUCCUUACCAUCUUUCUCUCUCUCUCUUUCCUCGCCCAGCAACAAAUAGCCGCAACUGGUAACUUGCUGUGGAGCAAGGCCUCCUAGUAUAACGACUAACUGCUAACUGGGCAAAGUUGAAUGGAACCAAUCAUCUCUAUCUCAGGAUAUGUUGAAAGAUCUCCAACACCAAAGAGGAGGAAAUCAUCAUAGCCAUUCAGAAAAGAAUAGAACUCAUCAACACAACAGAAACAAAUAUGCUGUGUUCAGAACUUAAUUUGGAACACUAUGCUGAUGGCCGUAUUACUAGCAAUGAAAGAAGCAAUUUACAUUUGUUCACUUCAGAAAAAAGGAGUAACUGCAAGCCAAACAAAAACAGGACAACAGAAAUUUUCCAUUUUGGAAAAUAAGAAAAACAUAAGGUAGAAAUCCGAGUCAAAAACAAUAGUGUGUUCGACAUAUAUAGUUUGUGCAACUAUACAGGCAAAAACAAAGCCAGCUAGAAAUCAAUCCAAGCUAGGGCGGUUGGCUUCAUCACCAACAGAAGACAUCAAUCCAAGUCCAGAUGGGACGUUACUCACAUCAACACAAUAGAGAGGAAUAGAAAAGAAAAAACAAUGCGUAAUAGAGAAGGUAAAAUCGAAUAUUUGUGGCGUAGCAAAAGAGGGCUCAGUUUUGCCUUUCGUCUUCAAGCCCAACACUCACAUCUCUUGCUGCAUAAUCUACCCAUCGCGAAUGUAUAAGAACUGUCCUGGUUAUCAUUCAUCAGAAUGACCGUCCAAGGCGCAGAACAUAAAACAUUAGCAAUGAAUUGAACAGGCUGCAAGAGAGGUAAGGGUGUGCUCUAAUUUAGUACCCAUAGGCCACAGUUGUCUUAAUUGCUCAAGACACGCUUAUUUCAGCCACGGUCAUCAUCAUCGCCCCUGGUAAGAACUCCAUCUCUUCAUCACACAGUAGCAUGCAUACAUCAUCUAUCCAUCCAUCAGGCUGGUCAUAGUGGUAAGUAAAUUGUGCAUCCAUGAUAUCCAUUACAGGUAUGCACGCAUCCAUCCAUCCUCUUUAAUUACUUGUCGGAUCAUCUUUUUUGCCUAUGUGGCAUGCAUGUUACUACUCCCUCCGUUCCAUAAUUACUGUCGUGGCUUUAGUUCAAUCUGAACUAAAACCUAAGUUACUCCCACUAUGACUAGUCCCAGUCUCAGGAGCUGCUCACUGACCAAACCUCCGAGUGUGGACGACGCAUCAGACAACGCCUUACGGUUCCCAGCCCACGCCACAACUAAAUCCAAGGCAAUGGAAUGGCAGUGGCUGGCAGCACCGUAGAGACGGAGAACUGACGUGGCAGCCACCCGGGCGAUGGGGUAGCAAGUCGGCAAUGAGAGCUUGACUGGUUUGUUUUAGAGAGAGAGAGAGAGAGAGAGAGAGAGGCGAGGAGGAUCCAUACCGGAUCCAAAACAAAAUGCAACUGAACUGAGUAUAUGUAGCAUAGCAAAAGAGGGCUCAGUUUUGCAUUUCAUCUUCAAACCCAACACUCGCAUCUCUUGCUCCAUAAUCCACCCAUCGCAGUGUAAGAGAACUGCACUGGUAAUCACUCGUCAGAACGACCGUCCAAAGGGACAGAACAUCCAACAUUGGCAAUGAAUUGGACAGGCUGCAAGAGAGGUAAGGGUGGGCUCUAAGAGCAACUCCAACAAGGAUACCGAUUUUCUGGCACUGCUUAGUCCCACCUCGCCGAGCUGUCUUGAUUGCUCAAGACAUGAUUAUUUCAGCCACAGUCAUCAUCAUCGGCAUCACCCCUCUUUUUUUUCCAAAAAGGAGGUUGAACCCCCAAGCAACAUGACCAUGAUAUCCGUACAUACAUACUCCCUCCGUUCCAAACUAAGUGUCAUGGUUUUAGUACACGACACAUUAAUGCAGCCAUCCUUCUCAGGAGCUGCUCAUACCUGGCGUCGGCCGACCAAACUUCCCAGUGCGGAGCACGCAUCAGACAACACCGUGCGGUUCCUCCCAGCCCACGCCACAACCAAACCCAAGGCAAUGGAGCAGCGGUGGCUGGCGGCACUGUAGCGGUGGGGAACUGACGCUGGUCGGCGAUCCGGCAACGAGAGCUCGCCUGAUUUGGUUCUGGUGGUGUGAACUGCACGCGCGCACGCACGCACCGAGAGAGAGAGAGAGAGAGAGAGAGAGAGAGAGAGAGAUGGGGACCGUACCGGAUCCAAAGCGAAACGCAGCCAAGCUGCGAGAAAUCCAUGGACGGCGGCUCAGAUCCCGCGCCGGCCCGACCAAGCCCUCGACCGGAGCGCACCACGGGCACCAGCAGCCCGCACGGCCGCGGACGCCUCCCGCACCGGCGGCAGUCCCGAGGGGCCUGCGAGCCGAUGCGCGAUCCGUCGCAGCGGGAGGGGCUGGCCCCGAGGGAGCGGCGACGCGGCGCGUCCGUCGGUCGGUAGCUGGCCGGCGCCGGCGGCUCCCUCCGUCAUCGCCGCCGUCAGGAGAGGGACGCGGUCAUCGGCCACGGCGAGAGGGACGGGCGCGGCGGCAGGAUUCGGUGAGAUAUGGAUAGAGCGCUCGCAUGCUAUGCUCCGCCCCGCGCGCAGCCAUGCCGCCGGUGGCCUCUCGCAGCCGGAGUGGUCCGAGGCAUAGCUAGCUAGCUAGGGUUCGGCGCCGGCGGGAGAAGAUGGGUCCAGAUCCAGGUCCGGCUGUAGAUGCUGUAAAUAAGGACCAGUGAAAGGGUCAUUUAGCAAAAACAAUACUACUACUCCAAAUGCAUGGAGGGGAAGGGGAAUGAGAGCACGUGUUGAGGUGAGGGGAGGGGAAGAAGGAUGAAAGCAGCCUGAGGGGAGGGCAGGCGUGCCCUAGAGUCAGACCGAGUGCACGUGUCCCGUGUUGUGCCUUGACGGUCAGUCGAACAUAAAAAUUGAAAAAAAAAACAUACAUAAAUCUUCGUGUAAAAUCAAUGAUAGAAUUUAGAUGUGCAAUGCGUAGAGUACAUCUAGAUGUGCUUUAGCAAAAUCGUUUUCUCGUGUCCUCUCCAUCAAAGACAUUGUUUAACUUAGGCCAACCUCAACGCGGGCGCUCCAACGGACGCGGAUGUUGCCCUUUUUUGUAUGUUUGGGUUGGCUAGGCAAACGGUCAAUGUUCGAUUUUUGUCCGCCGAACCAUAGAUUAGCCCAACGCGGACGACAGAUUUCAGAAUUAUAAAAAACUAGAGCCAAGAAAAAAAAUAAUGAAAUAGCCACCAGAAGUCCAGUUUACAUAAAUUAAAAUGAAAACAUAAAAAAAAUGAAAAUGAAAACAGGCACACGGUGGAUGCAGGCAGUGGCGGCGGCGUCAUCCUUCUCGGUCAAGUCGACGUACACCGGCGCAUCCAUCCACGAAGGCUGCUAGCGCCGCGCUGCACCUGUCGCCGCCUGCUGGACCGGUUGAGUGGUGUGUACAUGUGUGUCGUCUGCUGCUUGGCUACCAACGACGCGUGUCUCGGCCUCCUACAGGUGUCGUUGCUUCUCCUCUUCGUCACGCCUAGCGGAACAGGCGUGCCCAUGAAAUUGAACGCCGCAACUCCUCGAGCACAUGCGAUGCUUGCGGGUAAACCUGGGCAAACGUCGGGCCGGGCUUGUAAAAGCCCGACCUUCAUUUCUCAAGCCCGAGCCCGGCCCGAAGCCCGAAAUACUCCCUGAAAUCAAGCCCGAGCCCGGCCCGAAAUCAAGCCCGAAGCCCGAAAGCCCGGCCCGAACGCUGUUUUUUAGUACGUGUACGUGCAAGCCCGGCCCGAAGCCCGAAAGCCCGGCCCGAAAAAUAGAAAAAGACAAGCCCGAGCCCGGCCCGAACUACCUUUCGGGCUGCAAAACAAAGCCCGAGCCCGGCCCGAGUGUCAAGCCCGGCCCAACCCGGCCCGGGUUUUUCGGGCCGGGCUCGGGCCGGGCUGCCCAUGCCCGGGUUUACUUGCGGGUGUGGCCGCGGCCCGUUGGUCUCCACGCCGGUCGUUUAACUAAUUAAUGUUGAACCUUAUACUCCCACUAUUCCUUAAUACAGUGCAUAUAUGUUAUCUUAAAAGCCAAACUUUAUUAACUUUGACCAAGUUUAUAGAGAAUAAAAUACUUUAUAUAAUAAGAUGGACUAUCUCAUAUUAUUAUGUAUGUGAUAUUGUAGCUGUAGAUAAUUUCACCCAUAAACAUGUUUAGAGUUGACUCCUAAAAUAAUUUAUAUACACUAGAAGUAUUAAGCCUAAAACCUUACACACUCAAGACCACUUGUACCAUCGUUCAGGACAAAGGCCACUUCAAAGUUAUUGAUCCUAGGCCCCACGAUCAGCAGGCAUCGGCCUGGCUCGAUGAGAAUUUUGGGGGCCAUUGCUUUGGUUGAAGGAGAUUUACAUCUCCCACAAGGACCGGACGUGAAUACCCCGCAAAAAGAAAAGGACCGGACUUGAAGCACGAGAUGUGAUGUGUCCUCAUCCUAAUACUCUUUCGCUUUAUGUAUUUUCAACUUGUCUAGAUCACUCUCAUCGGUGUUAUUAAGCCAAAUCAUCAUUUCAUCUCAAGACUCAAUCUACAUGUGCCCAUCAUGUACCCCAACAAACGAGCAUAAACCCCCACCGAACCAGCCUAGACAAAGAUUACACCAAAAAGCGACGAGUCGGCCCACUGCAUGAAAUGCAGAAGAAAAGAACUGGCUUCGUGGUGGACCAAUAUGUCAAAGCCCAAUACCGCAAACCGGAAGGCCAUGGCUUCCCUAACAAUGCUCAUCUCUUGGGUUAUUUGAAACGAGAGAAAUUCUAGUGUUUAGAAAGAAAUCCACUAACAUUGUCAUGCUUAUCCACCCCUUCUACAUUCUCAAGCUCAUCCAGGACGAGGCAAGGCUUUUGGAUCACAGCGGGAGGUAGGCAUCUGAGCAUCAUCAUGCCGCACUUUUUUGUGUUGGUAGGUGUUCGUGAUGUAUAGUUAUCUCUAUUGGGCUAUGAUGUGGAACCAAUGUGAUGUGGAGUCAAGAAUACCAACAUGAGCAAAAUCCAGUUAGGUAGUUAUCGCAGAGAAAAAUACACCCUCUGUACUAAAUUUAAGCCGUUAAUAGGCCAUUAAAUUCUAGCUCUGCAUAACCCGGCAAUCCGGCCCAUGGGCACCCGAACCGAAUAAUAUUUAUAUGUAUAGAUUGUACUCCCUCCUUCCGGGAAAAGUUGUCACCGUGGCUUUUUUGCAAAAAAAAAAACCUUUGCUUUAGUCCGACACAACCCGCACUCCUCCGCCGCUCCUCUGCUCUGCUCAGCUCUACUCAGCUCCCUCGCUCGUCCUCCGCCGCAGCUCCCCUGCUCCGCUGCCUGUCCCCUCCUCCGCCGCCUCCCUGCUCCCGGUCCAUUUCCCCGUGCAGCUCCCGCCUCCCAUACCUAAAAAUCAUGUCUUCCCCCAAUCAACGGCAGCGAGGACGAAGCGGCGCUCGAUCUAGAGGGCACGGGGACGAGGGCAGCGACAAGUGUAGUUCUUAAUGAUGCAGAGCGCGGUGGAUGCUCCGGUGGGCUUCUACGGUGAACUCCAUCCUCUCCCUCCCCACCACCAGGACCACCUCCGGUCGCUCCCUUCCGCCCCGCGCCGCAACCACCCUCCCCUUCCCAAGAACCAUCGCCAGACCAUGUUCAUGUCGUCGGAAGGCGGGAGCACCAACGGCUCGUUGCUGGGGCUUCCCCCCUGGACGAGGAGGAGGACAACGAGGCCUGCCCCGUCAAUGGUUGCUGCUGAAUUGCAGUAUUCCUCGGGUCACGACGGUUGCUGUAUGUCCCAAUGUCAAAGGUUUGACAUUUGUUGCUGCUGAAUUGCAGUAUUCCCCGGGUAACGACGGUUGCUGCAUGUCCCAAUGUCAAAGGUUUGACAUUUGUUGCUGCUGAAUUGCAGUAUUCCUCGGGUCACGACGGUUGCUGUAUGUCCCAAUGUCAAAGGUUUGACAUUUGUUGCUGCUGAAUUAUGAAUUCUCAUCCUCUUUUCUUGUUGAUGUUGAAUGCUAAAUUCCGGCGAGCAGCUCCUCAGGUCGCCGGGCUUCUGGUGAAGAUCUUCGUGUGGGUCCUCGAGAUGCCGGUGGUGGGCUGGAUCUUGCUCUACAUCCUCAAGAAGGACAAUCUCAUCAACAAGGUGCAUGCACUUGUGCUGAAUGUUUUUUUAUGCCUGAGCGUCGCAAUUCUGAUUCUCAAUUCUACUCGCAUGUGUACGAUGUUUGUUCACCUGUAGGCAUUGAUCAGUACAGUUUCACCAAAGCAAUCUCUGGGCACAGUUAUUUUACAGCAGACAAUUCACUCUUCUGUGGUGUUUUUACUUUUUGCUGAAAUGCUCUGCUGAUUCAGAAAAACCAUUAGCUGCUGUUGCUGCAGACACCCUAGCCAAAUUCAGUUAACUUAAUCUGAAUAAUUCAGUUAACUUAACAGGGGAGCGUGUGUAUGCUGCGAACGAAUGCAUUUACUGAAUGUUAUUUUGAGGGACAUGUUUUUAUCAACUCUUAGUUAAGAUAAAUUAACCGUGUAAGGUGCUCUUUUGAUUACUAGUGAAGUGCUGCUCUAAAUAUCAUUGCAGCAAGAAAAACUUCAGUUUACUACAGUUUUCAGUUUGGAAUAGUGCACAAAAGACAAAUAGAUUCCUAUGCACUAUUGUGCGCUAUUCGGAGCACAAUUCAGUGUACUGCAGUUUAUUGCAUAAUUGUGCACUUUUUUAACACAUAACUUAGUCUGAAAAAAAAUUAAAAGCAACAAUGUCUAUUCCUGCUACCCUAGUUGAUCUAGUUAUGCAAAUGUUCAGAAAUGUCCAGUUUGUACAUUUUGAAAAAAGGCUGCCAUGGCCACAAAGGAUGCCAUGCAAGAUUGUUCACUUAAACUUCACUGUACAGCAACUUAAAUUUUGUGCAUCUACUGUUUACUCCACUGUACAAACUUGAAUUUGUGUGACAUGAGCUUUUGUUGGUUGCUACUCCACUAGAUAUUGACUGAUUAGACUAAACUGUAGGAUAGUGGUGCUGGUCCAUCUAGGGCACUACUCCCAUUUUUGCUCACAAUUAUUCAGAUAAGGACUACUCCUAGUAACAAAACAGAUCAUUUACUGAAAAUAGCUCUACAUAUUUUAGCAAUAGCUCUACAUUUACUGAAAAUAAACUUGAUGUACUGAGAAGAAACUUGGGCAUUGUUUACUGAAAAUAAACUUUAUCUACUGAAAAUAAACAAUCACUGAUCAGCAGCAGUUCUCAUCACCAUGAUAAGAUAAGCCAGAUGCUCUAUUUUUAAUUAACAGUAAUCCAUGAUCAGCAGCAGUUUCUUUCACUAAUUUUCAGUUAACAACAAUCCAUGAUUUUUUUUAUCAAGUGUGAUUUUGGGUAAAUAAGCCCUCUGUAAUUUAGAUCUUUACUACUGUCAAGUCUGACUUGUCAAUGAGAAACCAGUAACUAGUCAAUGUCAAAACUGUGAAAACUGAAAACAAAUUCAGUAAAUUUGAUCUUUUAUGCUGCAUUGCUGAAAAUUGACAGUAAAUUUUCAUGUACUGAAAUGAAGGCUCAAUGCUGCAUUGCUGACUGGAUAAAUUCAUUGCUGAACAAUUUCUGAACUUUAAUUUGUUCAUUGCGUAUAUGAAGGCUCUCUAGCACAUCAGGAUGAUCCACUCAUCAAAUUACAGACUAGAUGAUCCGCUGCUACUCUAAUUCACCUCAAUUUGAUCUGCACAACAAAUUAACAUCAAUUUGACAUUGAUUUCAGGGCGCUGGCUACCUUUCAGUAGCAGCAGAGGCGGCGAGGAGGAGCUGGGUCGCCUGGACGAAGAAGAAGAAAUCGGCAAGGAGGAAAGGGUGGGCGGCGGUGGUCGCCUCUGUAGCAGGUGGGCGGCGGCGUUGGGCCCUACAGUGUUUGCGCUGGUCACCUCGGUGCACGGCAGUGGAGCAGCGGCUGCCCGAGGUCUUGCCCAACUCCCACAGCAGAGUGCCCGGCCUUGGCACGCCGGGGUUGCGACCGGAGAUGCCGGGGUUGCGACCGGAGAUGCGAGCAGAACGACGAGUAGAGCCGCCCAUGAGCCGUGGAAUCACCGCCCGUCGAGGUGUCGCCGCGGAGGAGCAGGUGGGCGGCGGCAAAGCUCGCCUCCGCAGCGCAACUAGGCAAGGGCGGCGCAAGAUGGCAGCUGCGGGGCAGGUGGGCGGCGGCGCAAGUGGGACUUCAUCACGCGGUGCUCGCAGGCGAUGGGGGGAGACGAAGGCUAGAGCAUGCGGUGCCGGCGGGCGUCAGGGGAGGAAGAAGGGCUGAUUAGAACUAGAUUUAAAAUGAAAGGUUUUUUUUGUAAAGUUACAAUUGAACUACGCUGGUGACAACUUUUCCCGGACGGAGGGAGUAUAUUGGUAGUACAGUUGCAUCGAGGGGUAACGCAUAAAGCCAAGCCACUGACGUUAGCUAUCAAAAAUUUCAUUCCAAGCCAUGACAACUAAUAUUCUCGCACUCGGUUGCAUCCAAAUGGACAAGCAUGCUACCAGAUUGACCAUAUGGAUUACAGCACCGCCAACCACUUGUAUAUAUGACUUGAACAGGCAUCAGCCCAGAGAAGGGUGGACAUAUAAAAAAGCUUCAUUGCUGCUCCAAGGCAUACUUAUUACAACUAAUCAGAAAGCAUCAUCAGAACUAAUCAGACUUGAAGUACUUCAUGGUGGUAGUUCAUACUCUUGUAGCUUGUGAUUAUCUAAUAUCAAGAUUUCUAGGCGGGCAAUUUUAUUCAUAUACGUUUCAUGAAAAUUAUGUCGUUAAAGGAGGUAGUAGUUCAAGGUAGCCCACUGAAAGCUAAGGAAUUAACCACAUAGGAGAUCAAGAUGUAGAAUACACUGAAGUUCAAAUGAACAUAUUACUGGAAAUAUCAACGGUGCAUAGAAAGGGGGCAACACACAAGAGGCAAACAUAGACAUAUAUAGGGGAGGAGUGCUGCAGAUUAGGCUGCACCCCUGUGGGCCCUGGGAGUAAGCAUGUAGGCACGCAAUAUCCAACGCAUUCAUAUGGGCAAACCCCACUCUAUAUCCGAUACACUUGGCGAUCCGCGUUGCAGAUGCUCUUACACCCCUGUGUGACAUUUCAGCAUUCAAAUGGUUGCUCACUGAAAGCAAGCCAUCCCAAUUUGCACGCUUCCACCUAGUCACACAAAACCCUAACCCUAACACAUACCAUAAAUACAAGUGAUGGUAUCUGAUCUCAAUACACCUCUGAAUGAGCCUUACUCAUCAUCGCCAUCAACAGCACUUUGGCGCAAAUCCCACAAAGAGAACAACAGAGAAGCCAAUAGUCAAAGAGCGCAAGAUGGCAAGGAACCACAGGAGAAUCAGUAAAAGCAGAAAGAAUCACUAUAUCAGGAGCAAAUCAUGAACUGGUGGACACAAAAACUGGGACAUGUAUAAGUAAAUGGCUCAGAUACACUCCCAUCUCAACACUAUAACUGAAUUUCUGGUAGAAUGACCAUGAACAUUUAUAUUUGUGAACGGAGGGAAUAACAGUUAAGAAGGGAGCCUUGGAGCAGCGGUAAAGCUGUAGCCUUGUAACCUUGAGGUCAUGGGUUCGAGUCCUGGAAACAGCCUCUUGCAGAAAUGUAGGGAAAGGCUGCGUACUAUAGAUCCAAAGCGAUUGGACCCUUCCCCGGACCCUGUGCAAGCAGGAGCUACGUGCACCGGACUGCCCUUUAGGGAGUAAUAGUUAGCCGCUAAACUGGUUACUUGCUGUGACACAAGCCAUCCUAGUUUAGCACCAAGUAAAUCGAUUCAGGUGUUAAGAUAGAAGCUCUCACAGGGAGGUUAUAUCAUCACAGCCAUUCAUGAACAUGAUACGAAGAAAACAGUAAUCUUGACAGCUGAACUUGCCCUAUACGACCCUUAAGUUGAAACCAGUAAAGAAGUAACGCGAAACCAAAAGUACAAACUGAUAAGUAGAUAAAGAGUACAAUAGAAGGAUGAAAUUAUCAAGUCAAAUAGCAAUUGAAACAAGCAAACUGACCCAGCACCAAAUAAGAUAGUUUCAAAAGCCAUCCAAGGGACAGCAGAAUUAUCAUAGCCAUUCAAGAAGAAGGAAGAAACGGAAAAAGGAAAAAAAACAGAAGAAAUAAUUAAGUGUGGCUGGAGUACUGUUCCUAAAACAACAGAACUCGUUGACUACUGCAAAACCAACAAAAUGUGUAGGAAAAAAGGAAAAACAGUCCCUUGCAUCCACCAGACCAUGAUUUUACCGAAAGAACUAAUAUCAUAACCAAACUCUCAACAUAUCUUUAACAUAUACAUGGAUGCGAGCAAGCAAGAAAUACAAAUUCUCAGAAAGGAAAAGAUCAGUUCAAAUUUUGGGAAGGAAACACUUAUUUUUACUCAGAACUUUAUUGGGCGGGAGUCUCGGAAUUGGCCAAUUUAUAGAAGGUAGUCAUGGUAUUUUUGCAACAAGAGAUUAUAAGAGGUAGAUACAGGCUUAUGACAACAUUGUGUUUUUCCACGUAUUGCCUUCUAUAAGCAAUUAAAAUGGUCAUCAGCAGAAAGCAAACCGUGCAAAUUGUAUUCCUUGAGACCAGUUAGCAGUUGCUGUGCUGGACCAAAACAGUAGAAAAGAAGUUUGACAACUUGCCAACUUGAAUGUACAUCACUGCCAAAAGAACCAGUAAAAAUUUAAUAGGGGUAGUAAAUAAGGACAUGGAAUAUGACCAAAGAACUAGCCAUGGGCAAUUGGGCAGGGGUGCGAGGAAGCUAGCUAUCCAUGUGCCAGAACCAUGAGUUGGUUGCGAGAUCCUAUGGGUUUGCUGUUUUCCAUGUGCCAGCUCUAGCCUACCCCAACUUGUUUGGAACUAAAGGCUUUGCUGUUGUUGUUGGUAGUAAAGGAGGACAUGCACAGAUCAUCUUCCGCAUAUUUAACCACUCAACAGAAUGACCAUCCAAGACAGAGCCAUCAAUAUUCGGUCAGAAUGAAAAGGUCAUAAAAGAGGGGAGAGCGUUUUUUUAAUACCCACGGCUCCUCGAAUAAUCGAAGACAGGUUUAUUGUCAGCCAAGUUUGAUCAUCAUCGCCCCUUAUAAAUAGAUAGAGAGAUCCCUUUGCGCAUGCAACAGGUAAGGGUGAAAAGUCGGUUGGACCAGAUACAGAAUAUCUGCAGCUAAGCACAGUAUCAGCAGCUGGAGGGCGAUUAGAACAUGAGGAAUAGUUCACAAAAUCCUGGGGAAUUUUUGGGGAGUACUAUUUGAAUGAGUGACUCAAACACCAUGAAUCACCAAAGUUGGGAAAUGCUUCAGGUGGUACAAAGUACUGGGAAAUUUUUGGGGAGUACUAUUUGAAUGAAUGAAGUGGUACCAUAAACAAUAAAAUAUCUGUCUCCCUCUCCCUCUCUCUCUCCAGCAACAAAUUGCCGCAACUAGUAACUUGCUGCAGCGCAAGGCCUCCUAGUUUAACGACCAGCUGUCUAACUGGGCAAAUUUGAAUGGAACCAACCUAGGAGACGUGAAAGCAUCUCUAUCACAAGAUAGUUGAAAGAUCUCCAACGCCAAGGGGCAGAAAUCACCAUAGCCAUUCAGAAAAUAAUAAAACUCAUCAACACACAACGGAAACAAAUAUGCUGUGUUCAGAAGUUAACUUGGAACACUGCACUGAUGUCCGUAUUACUGGCAACGAAAGAAGCAAUUGACAUUUGUACACUUCAGAUAAAAGGAGUAACUACAAGCCAAAUAAAAAUAGGAUGACAUAAACUUUCCGUUUUGAAACAGCAGAAAAGCAUAAGCUUGCAAAAAGGGAUGCACAUAAUACAAACAGAAAACAGGAAAUGCAGCUCGCCCGUUUAUCCCAUGAAAAAUGGGUUCUAAUGCUAAAUAGUCAGACAUGUAACACUGGAUAGUGGCAAUACUAUUCCACCAUGAAACUGAACAGCGGUCAGUCCAACCUCUGGCAAAAUGAAAACACAGCCAAAUCAAGAAUACUGAAUAAAAUUUAAAAUAUAUAAUGAGAAGAGGGCCAACCGCCAACAUAUAAAUCCCAAAUGACUCAAGCAAAAGCUCCAGGAGGACAUCCAGUUAUGAUAAGACAAAAUCAAGGUUUUUGAGUCGAUGAGUCGGCGAGUCGCUCAGGGGGGGCGACUCUAGACUAGUCGUGACUCAUGGUCGACGAGUCGACAUGCGAUGAGUCGACGUGAGUUAAGUAGUAGGGAGCAGACCAGCGGCAACUAAGGGAGGAGCCGCAGCAGCAAGAGAUGGGAGGGGCAGACCUGCAGUAGCAGCAACCAAGGGAUGAGCAGCAGCAACCAGGGGAGAAGGGGACGAGCAGCCAGCCAGCGGCAGCGGCUGCUGCAGAAGAGAGCUGGGUCGGGGGAGGGGAGUGGAACUGUUCGAUCUAGGUUUCCAGACGCUCCAAUCUUCCUUCAAUAUUGGCCCAGAAGCAAUAUUAGCCCAAUAAGGCCCAAUGAAACCCUAGCCUGCCUAGCUCAAUCUGAACCAUCUAUAUUCUCUAAUCUUCACCGUCCAUCCACUCUCUUCUUUCUCUCUCUCUCACCUGCUCCCCUUCCAGCCUCCAGGAACGAAUCGACAGCCGCAAUGGCCUUGCUGCAGCUCCUCUUCCAUGGCUUCUCUGCCUUCGCCCCUUCCUCUCCGCCUCCCCCAUCCUUCUCUGCUCCGUUUUCUACGCCCAACUCCUCUUCCAUCACAGGUUGAUCGAGUCGUUCGACUCAAAAACCGCGACUAGUCGAGACUAGUCGGGACUAGUCGAUCAAGUCGCUCGACUCAUCCAAUGAUUCGAGUCGACAGGUUGAGUCAACCUUCAUGUAACGACUCGUCGACUAGUCGACGACUAGUCGCGACUAGUCGUUCGACUCGAAAUCCAUGGACAAAAUAUAAGAGCCUUUCUAACAAAUACACUUUUGCAGUUGAUAAAUUUAUUUGACACUCAUUUCGAAUCCGUGCAAGGGAUCUGUGCCACGUUGAUGCAUCAGAAAUGUGGCAGUUAAUAUUGACAGCAGCAGCUAAAGAAUAGACUAACUACCAAUGAACUAAAUAGCAUAGAGAAUCAUAACAAAAGGUCUGCUCUGACCAAAACAAAUAUGAAGGUAAUAUGAGCUUCAGAUUAUAAAAAACAGAGACAUAGCAGAUCAAAGGGCAAUCGAUAACCAGAUGAAUAGAACUGUCAAUAGCUACAAGCAUUGGAGGAAAAAAGGGCAAUCGUUUGACUCAUAUAUAGUACGUACAACUAGAAAGGCAAAAACGAUGCCAACUAGAAACCAACCCAAGUAAAGCUAGGGUUGUUGGGUUCGUCACCAAGAGAAGAUAUCAAUCCAGAUCCGGAUCUCACAUCAACACAAUAGAGAAAUAGAAAAUUAAAAACAAUGUAUAGUGGAGAAAAAAAAACUGAGUAUUUGUAGCGUAGCAAGAGGGCUCAGUUUUGCCUUUUAUCUUGAAGCCCAACACUCACGUCUCUUGCUGCAUAACCUACCCAUCGCGAUGUAAUUGAACUGCCCUGGUUAUCACUCAUCAGAAUGACCAUCCGAGGCGCAGAACAUCCAACAUUAGCCAUGAAUUGAAUAGGCUGCAAGAGAAGUAAGGGUGAGAGCUCUUAAGGGCAUCUCCAACGCCGGCACCCAUUUGGGGCCUAUUUAGUACCCACAUGCCACGGCUGUCUUGAUUGCUCAACACAUAAUUAUUUCAGCCGCAGGCAUCAUCAUCGCCCUUUUUUUUUAAAAAAAAAAAGGUCAAACCCCCCAAGCAACAUGACCAUAACAUCCAUCAUCCAUCCAUCCAUUCAUCCAUCAGACUAGCCAUAGUGGUGAGUAACUUAGACAAUCUCAGGAGCUGCUCAUACCUGGCCUUGACCGACCAAACCUCCUGGUGUGGACGACACAUCAGACAACGCCUUACGGUUCCCAGCCACGCCACAACCAAAUCCAAGGCAAUGGACUGGCGGCGGCUGGCAGCACCGUAGAGACCGGGAACUGACAUGGCAGCUACCCGGACGAUGGGUCAGCGAGUCGGCAAUGAAAGCUUGACUGAUUUGUUUAAGGGAGAGANNN